Molecule: ribosomal RNA, 421 nt
Filed under: Fusobacteriota bacterium
Lineage: Bacteria; Fusobacteriati; Fusobacteriota
Description: Fusobacteria bacterium partial 16S ribosomal RNA
Rfam family: Bacterial small subunit ribosomal RNA
Source: RNAcentral
UGGGGAAUAUUGCACAAUGGACGGAAGUUUGAUGCAGCGACGCCGCGUGGAGGGUGUAGGCCUUCGGGUUGUGAACUCCUUUUUCUCGCGAAAAAGGCACAGUUUUGGCUGUGUUGAUGGUAGUGGGGGAAGAAGCGCCGGCUAACUACGUGCCAGCAGCCGCGGUAAUACGUAGGGCGCGAGCGUUGUCCGGAUUUAUUGGGCGUAAAGAGCUCGUAGGUGGUUCGUCGCGUCUGUCGUGAAAGCCAGCAGCUUAACUGUUGGUCUGCGGUGGGUACGGGCAGGCUUGAGUGCGGUAGGGGUGACUGGAAUUCCUGGUGUAGCGGUGGAAUGCGCAGAUAUCAGGAGGAACACCGAUGGCGAAGGCAGGUCACUGGGCCGUUACUGACACUGAGGAGCGAAAGCGUGGGGAGCGAACAGG